UACGUAGGGUGCGAGCGUUAAUCGGAAUUCCUGGGCGUAAAGCGUGCGCAGGCGGUUUUGUCAGGCGGAUGUGAAAUCCCCGGGCUUAACCUGGGAAUGGCAUUCGGGACUGCAAGGCUGGAGUGCGGCAGAGGAGACUGGAAUUCCUGGUGUAGCAGUGAAAUGCGUAGAUAUCAGGAGGAACACCGAUGGCGAAGGCAGGUCUCUGGGCUGACACUGACGCUCAUGCACGAAAGCGUGGGGAGCAAACAGG
Molecule: ribosomal RNA, 253 nt
Filed under: uncultured bacterium
Lineage: Bacteria
Description: partial 16S ribosomal RNA
Rfam family: Bacterial small subunit ribosomal RNA
Source: RNAcentral